This 583-nucleotide ribosomal RNA is filed under the name uncultured bacterium. RNAcentral describes it as "partial 16S ribosomal RNA". It matches the Rfam family "Bacterial small subunit ribosomal RNA", at positions 355 to 1375 of the family's 1533-position model. The record is from RNAcentral.
UGGGGAAUUUUGGACAAUGGGCGAAAGCCUGAUCCAGCAAUGCCGCGUGUGUGAAGAAGGCCUUCGGGUUGUAAAGCACUUUUGUCCGGAAAGAAAUCCUUGGCUCUAAUACAGUCGGGGGAUGACGGUACCGGAAGAAUAAGCACCGGCUAACUACGUGCCAGCAGCCGCGGUAAUACGUAGGGUGCAAGCGUUAAUCGGAAUUACUGGGCGUAAAGCGUGCGCAGGCGGUUUGCUAAGACCGAUGUGAAAUCCCCGGGCUCAACCUGGGAACUGCAUUGGUGACUGGCAGGCUAGAGUAUGGCAGAGGGGGGUAGAAUUCCACGUNUAGCAGUGAAAUGCGUAGAGAUGUGGAGGAAUACCGAUGGCGAAGGCAGCCCCCUGGGCAAUACUGACGCUCAUGCACGAAAGCGUGGGGAGCAAACAGGAUUAGAUACCCUGGUAGUCCACGCCCUAAACGAUGUCAACUAGUUGUUGGGGAUUCAUUUCCUUAGUAACGUAGCUAACGCGUGAAGUUGACCGCCUGGGGAGUACGUCGCAAGAUUAAAACUUAAAGGAAUUGACGGGGUCAUAGCUGUUUCCU